Molecule: ribosomal RNA, 446 nt
Filed under: uncultured bacterium
Lineage: Bacteria
Description: partial 16S ribosomal RNA
Rfam family: Bacterial small subunit ribosomal RNA
Source: RNAcentral
CCUACGGGUGGCAGCAGUCGAGAAUCAUUCACAAUGGGGGAAACCCUGAUGGUGCGACGCCGCGUGGGGGAAUGCAGGUCUUCGGAUUGUAAACCCCUGUCAUGUGGGAGCAAAUUAAAAAGAUAGUACCACAAGAGGAAGAGACGGCUAACUCUGUGCCAGCAGCCGCGGUAAUACAGAGGUCUCAAGCGUUGUUCGGAAUCACUGGGCGUAAAGCGUGCGUAGGCUGUUUCGUAAGCCGUGUGUGAAAGGCGCGGGCUCAACCCGCGGACGGCACAUGAUACUGCGAGACUAGAGUAAGGGAGGGGGAACCGGAAUUCGCGGUGUAGCAGUGAAAUGCGUAGAUAUCGAGAGGAACACUCGUGGCGAAGGCGGGUUCCUGGACAUUAACGGACGCUGAGGCACGAAGGCCAGGGGAGCGAAAUGGAUUAGAUACCCUUGUAGUC